This 328-nucleotide ribosomal RNA is filed under the name uncultured eukaryote. Its description in RNAcentral is "partial 18S ribosomal RNA". It matches the Rfam family "Eukaryotic small subunit ribosomal RNA", at positions 1470 to 1796 of the family's 1831-position model. The record is from RNAcentral.
CCCUUAGAUGUCCUGGGCCGCACGCGCGUUACACUGAUGCAUUCAACGAGCUUAUAACCUUGGCCGAGAGGCCUGGGCAAUCUUGUUAACGUGCAUCGUGAUAGGGAUAGAUUAUUGAAAUUAUUAAUCUUGAACGAGGAAUUCCUAGUAAACGCAGAUCAUCAAUCUGCAUUGAUUACGUCCCUGCCCUUUGUACACACCGCCCGUCGCACCUACCGAUUGGAUGGUCCGGUGAAGCCUCGGGAUUGUGGUUCUUGCCGCUUUAUUGUGGCGUGACCGCGAGAACUUGUCUAAACCUUAUAAUCUAGAGGAAGGUGAAGUCGUAACA